GACGAACGCUGGCGGCGUGCUUAACACAUGCGAGUCGAACGGAAAGGCCCUGCUUUUGUGGGGUGCUCGAGUGGCGAACGGGUGAGUAACACGUGAGUAACCUGCCCUUGACUUUGGGAUAACUUCAGGAAACUGGGGCUAAUACCGGAUAGGAGCUCCUGCUGCAUGGUGGGGGUUGGAAAGUUUCGGCGGUUGGGGAUGGACUCGCGGCUUAUCAGCUUGUUGGUGGGGUAGUGGCUUACCAAGGCUUUGACGGGUAGCCGGCCUGAGAGGGUGACCGGCCACAUUGGGACUGAGAUACGGCCCAGACUCCUACGGGAGGCAGCAGUGGGGAAUAUUGCACAAUGGGCGGAAGCCUGAUGCAGCAACGCCGCGUGCGGGAUGACGGCCUUCGGGCUGUAAACCGCUUUCGCCUGUGACGAAGCGUGAGUGACGGUAAUGGGUAAAGAAGUACCGGCUAACUACGUG
Molecule: ribosomal RNA, 468 nt
Filed under: uncultured bacterium
Lineage: Bacteria
Description: partial 16S ribosomal RNA
Rfam family: Bacterial small subunit ribosomal RNA
Source: RNAcentral